CCCCCUACCGCCACCUUCGCCCUCUCAGCUAGUAUCCGGCACACCCUCCGCCGUCUCUUUACUAGCCAAAGAGGGUUGCAGCAACGGGGAUAGCAGUUGCGAAACUAGUUGCCUGGCUUUAAACUCUGCCACGCUCUCCCGCUCGCUUCCUUUUCCUUCCUCCCUCCUUCCACCUCUCCUCCUCCUCCUCCUCCUCCUCCUCCUCCUCCUCUAUCCCCUUUUCCCGCCAACCUUUCCAGAAGGGAGAACCAUCCCACUCCGUGCCAACCAGCCAGCCAGCCAACCAACAGGGUGGUUUGAGAGGAUCGAGAGGGCAAUAUGUUUCUCAGAAGCCCCCAAUUUCCUUCGCACAAGCUCGCCGCGACCCCCUUUUCGGCGAUAGAAACGGGAACGGAAGCGCCGAUUCGCUCUUACGUCCCUACCUAAAGGUUUCUGCCGCUACUCUACAACCUUUUUCUUUCGACGGCGUAUUCCGCUACGCGUUUCCAAGAUCUCCGAGUUUCCAAAGACACGAAGAAAGGAACGAGAUUGGGCGCGAAACGGCGAGCAACGAUCGCGC
This 559-nucleotide unclassified non-coding RNA is filed under the name Bombus terrestris (buff-tailed bumblebee). Its description in RNAcentral is "misc RNA ENSBTSG00005034074.1". The record is from RNAcentral. Lineage: Eukaryota; Metazoa; Arthropoda; Insecta; Hymenoptera; Apidae.